GUUAAUUGUUGUUUUUUGUUUUUAAUUUGCCUCCAAUAAACAACAUCAUCUGCCCAUCUCUGCAUGGAAAGUGGGUCCCAAGUGAAGGGGCCCAGCACCCACUUUGGGAGUUGGAGGCAGACUUGGGAGGUCUUCAAGCUCAGACCUCUCCCCCAUGCACUAAUUUGAGAUAGUUAUUUGUAAUCUUCUGGAGAUGAUUUGGCUUUGGUCCUGCCCAGGGGUAAAGGAACGGACAAGCAGACCUCUGAGAUCACCCAUCUUCAGGGUUCCCCCAGCUCAGUGAUCUUGGCUAAAGAAUGAAGUCUGGAUUCACAGAGACGGGGGUUUGAAUCCCAGAUCUGCUGCCUCGUAGUUGAAUGGGACUUCUACAAAGGGUUGUCAUGAAGAUUCAAUGAAAUCAUGGAGGAAAAGCACAUAGAAUGGUGCUCAGCACAUGUCCAGCCACAAGCACUCAAGACAGGUAAAGAGGCAGUUUCCCCCUGCCUGAGAGUUUUGGUGAACCAGCCAGAAGAAUCACUGGCUGGAAAACUCCUUUCUCCUUGGGACUGCUGCAGAUGAAAAGAUCCUGGAACGUCUGACAGAAGCUGCCAGGAGACAGUUGCAGAUAUUGCAAGAAAUCGGGACACUGGAAGAGAAAUUGUCCUGUACUUCCGAGAAAGGAAAGCUUAAAAAGUAAUUCCCCUAGGCCCCGGCACGCCCAGGAGGAUUGUUUUUCUCCUCCCGAGGGACAAUUCCCC
This 737-nucleotide long non-coding RNA is filed under the name Equus caballus (horse). Its description in RNAcentral is "lncRNA (ENSECAG00000044339.1)". Lineage: Eukaryota; Metazoa; Chordata; Mammalia; Perissodactyla; Equidae. The record is from RNAcentral.